GGAAGAACCUUGUUAAAUGGACAGGGAUAACUACUGGAGGUGACAGAAGACACGUGCAGGUUUCAGGAAGGACAGCAGAACUGCCGGUAAAUACGAACCUACCCUUCCCAUUGCAGGUUCGGCGUUUGUGCCCUACCCUUGCCUGCCCAGCCUUCCUUCCUCCUCACACUCGCUGCUACCCACUGACCGAGGCGCUGAGCAGAAGUAGCAAUCGCUUACCGGCCUGCAGCCCGGCCCCGAGGCUCCCAGCCCUGCCGGCCCCGGCCCACCACACUCCUCUUGCCGGGGCACCUCUCUAAUCACCCCCCAGCCCGGGGAGGGAGCACUGACUGGGGUGGCCCGGCCGCAGGGUGAAGUCACCCGGUGACCCUGUCACCAAAAGGCCUCACCGUUUUUGGCAAGCCCAGCAGAACAGGGAUUCCCAACUGCUCAGCUCCUUCCAAGGCAAAGCUCCCUGGCUGGGAAAGGCCUCUGGUACAGUGUAUCCCACUGUCACCGCUUCAGAGCGAUCCACUGAGCUGGGAUUGGAACACACUGUGGAAGUGAUCCCACUCCUGACACCCUGCCAGCUAUCACAAGAUGCACAUUCACAGCUGCAAUAUAAUGUGGUUUCACUGAAGUCAGUAAUCUUAGGACCAGAUUCGCAAACCGAGAUCCAGCAGACAUUUGCAGGAAACAUAUCCCCUGUCUUGUGCAGCUCAUAGUCCUCAAUCCUUUCUGGAGGAGACUUCCUCUCCUACCAGCAAGGAUCAACUGCCGACAUCACCUGCUACUUUUCCUCCAUGCCUUAAGUGCUCAUCUCAACGCAGAACACAUCAAUUCCCAGAUCUGGAAGUCUUAAGCCCUCAGUUCUCGCUUAUUAGGGCUCCUAAUCACUGGGCUGUUCUCAUGGGGAAAAAUCCCCACCCCACCCCUCCUUUGAAGGCAUUUCACUUUGCAUAAAAAUGCACUAGGCCGGGGGAAGGAGAAGGAAGGAACGAGACUAUUAAGUCUGCUGGUUGCGGUGCUUGCCAAAGCCUGGAGCUCCCAUCUCCCAGUCAGCAGCGCUCAGAAGCAGAUUUAAUCAGGUUCCCACCAAGUCUUCCUUCACCCAAGAGAAAAAACGUUCUGCACGAAAAAGAGGCUGACCAUGUGGUGACAAAGCAGUAGGAUAAGAGGAUGGCCAAUUGGAAAAGAGGCACCUGGGCAUCUGUUGCACCAAAUACAGCAUGUUGUGUGAUGAAAAGAUGGUCGCUCUUCAAAAGAAGAAGUUCCAGUAUUUGCUAAAACAGUUCUAUACAGGUUAAUACUCGAAUAUCUGUAGUAGGCCUUGCCAGGGGAAGUUUCCAGGAACAGUACUAAAUUUAUGAUGAAUGGCAACAGAUGGUCAUUGGAAAUAGUAACUUAAGGAAACGUGAUAUGACUACG
RNAcentral lists this long non-coding RNA (1407 nucleotides) under Gallus gallus (chicken). RNAcentral's name for it is "lncRNA (ENSGALG00010023709.1)". Lineage: Eukaryota; Metazoa; Chordata; Aves; Galliformes; Phasianidae. The record is from RNAcentral.